AAUUUCCCAUUCGAGAUCAUGUGCGAUGCUUCAGAUUAUGCAGUAGGAGCAGUUUUGGGCCAGCGGAUUGAUAAAAAGCUGCAUGUGAUCUACUACGCGAGCAGAACGAUGGAUGAUGCACAGGUAAGGUAUGCCACUACAGAGAAGGAACUGCUAGCUGGGGUAUUUGCAUUCGAGAAAUUUAAAAGCUACCUAGUGGGCUCUAAGGUGACAGUCUACACUGAUCAUGCUGCUCUGAGGCAUAUAUACGCGAAGAAAGAUACCAAACAUAGGAUCUUAUUGCUCUAAGAGUUCGACAUGGAGAUAGUUGAUAAGAAGGGAAUUGAAAACGGUGUAGCUGAUCAUCUAUCUAGAAUGAGAAUUGAAGACGAGGUCCCUAUUGACGACUCCAUGUCAGAAGAACAGCUAAUAGCAAUUCAGCAACUUAACGAGAGUGCUCAAAUUCGGAAAUCACUCGAUCAAGUAUGUGCAAUUGAAGAAAAGCU
This 485-nucleotide small RNA is filed under the name Arabidopsis thaliana (thale cress). Its description in RNAcentral is "ATSL270000". The record is from RNAcentral. Lineage: Eukaryota; Viridiplantae; Streptophyta; Magnoliopsida; Brassicales; Brassicaceae.